This 556-nucleotide ribosomal RNA is filed under the name Golovinomyces ambrosiae. RNAcentral's name for it is "partial large subunit ribosomal RNA". It matches the Rfam family "Eukaryotic large subunit ribosomal RNA", at positions 78 to 647 of the family's 3401-position model. The record is from RNAcentral. Lineage: Eukaryota; Fungi; Ascomycota; Leotiomycetes; Helotiales; Erysiphaceae.
CCUCAGUAACGGCGAGUGAAGCGGUAACAGCUCAAAUUUGAAAUCUGGCUCUUCCGGAGUCCGAGUUGUAAUUUGUAGAAGAUGCUUUGGGAGGUAGGGCCGGCCUAAGUUCCUUGGAACAGGACAUCAGAGAGGGUGAGAAUCCCGUAUGUGGCCGUGGCCUACGCCCGUGUAAAGCUCUUUCGACGAGUCGAGUUGUUUGGGAAUGCAGCUCAAAAUGGGUGGUAAAUUUCAUCUAAAGCUAAAUAUUGGCCAGAGACCGAUAGCGCACAAGUAGAGUGAUCGAAAGAUGAAAAGCACUUUGGAAAGAGAGUUAAACAGUACGUGAAAUUGUUGAAAGGGAAGCGCUUGCAACCAGACUUGGGCGUCGUCGAUCAUCCGGGGUUCUCCUCGGUGCACUCGACGAGGCACAGGCCAGCAUCGGUUUGGAUGGUUGGAGAAAGGCCCUAGGAACGUAGCUCUCUUCGGGGAGUGUUAUAGCCUAGAGCGCAAUGCAGCCCAUCCGGACCGAGGACCGCGCCUUUGGCUAGGAUGCUGGCGUAAUGGUUGCAAGCGA